CCUACGGGCGGUAGCAGUGGGGAAUAUUGGACAAUGGGGGCAACCCUGAUCCAGCCAUGCCGCGUGUGUGAAGAAGGCCCUCGGGUUGUAAAGCACUUUCAGUGAGGAAGAACGCCUGGUGGUUAAUACCCAUCAGGAAAGACAUCACUCACAGAAGAAGCACCGGCUAACUCCGUGCCAGCAGCCGCGGUAAUACGGAGGGUGCGAGCGUUAAUCGGAAUUACUGGGCGUAAAGCGCGCGUAGGUGGCUUGAUAAGCCGGUUGUGAAAGCCCCGGGCUCAACCUGGGAACGGCAUCCGGAACUGUCAAGCUAGAGUGCAGGAGAGGAAGGUAGAAUUCCCGGUGUAGCGGUGAAAUGCGUAGAGAUCGGGAGGAAUACCAGUGGCGAAGGCGGCCUUCUGGACUGACACUGACACUGAGGUGCGAAAGCGUGGGUAGCAAACAGGAUUAGAUACCCUUGUAGUC
This 465-nucleotide ribosomal RNA is filed under the name Vreelandella stevensii. RNAcentral's name for it is "partial 16S ribosomal RNA". It matches the Rfam family "Bacterial small subunit ribosomal RNA", at positions 338 to 795 of the family's 1533-position model. The record is from RNAcentral. Lineage: Bacteria; Pseudomonadati; Pseudomonadota; Gammaproteobacteria; Oceanospirillales; Halomonadaceae.